This 2936-nucleotide long non-coding RNA is filed under the name Sus scrofa (pig). RNAcentral describes it as "lncRNA (ENSSSCG00055000305.1)". Lineage: Eukaryota; Metazoa; Chordata; Mammalia; Artiodactyla; Suidae. The record is from RNAcentral.
UUUUUUUUUUUUUUUUUUUUUUUUUUUUUUUUUUUGUCUUUUUGCCAUUCCCUGGGCCGCUCCUGUGGCAUAUGGCGGUUCCCAGACUAGGGGUCCAAUCGGAGCUGUAGCCCCCGGCCUACGCCCGACCCACAGCAACGUGCGAUCUGAGCUGCGUCUGUAACCUACACCACAGCUCACAGCCACGCCGGAUCAUUAACCCACUGAGCAAGGCCAGGGAUCAAACCCGAAACCUCAUGGUUCUUAGAUUUGUUAACCACUGUGCCACGACGGGAACUCCAGGUAUCUCAUUUUCAUAGCUUCAUAGGUCUCCCCUGACUUUGUAGCUGGUCAGCUUUUACUGCUUGAAACUGGCCCCAGAGGUACAGAUGCCCUUCUGAGAUGAGCUGGACAAUUCCCUUUCCUCUUAAUACGUGUCCUGGGGAGUCAAAAGGAAAAGUACUCAGCCCCCUGCCAUGCACUCCUAUUGCCUUUCACCUGUGCCUCCCUCCCUCCCGUCCCCCCCCAUUACAAAUGCCCACGAGGAGUAUGAUGCUAAAUUGCAGAGUUGUGACCUCUAGUCUGGUAUCCUGCAGGAAGCAGAGGAGACAAGCCACUUCCUUGCCCGCCCCCCCACCGCCAUCUGGGGAACCCCCCUCUGAGGAAGCCUUUCUAGACACUCAGGCCUUUCUCUUCCCACUAUUCCAGUUACUGCUCCCAUUUUAAAAGCAGAAGUACCGCAGGAGCUAAGAUUAUCUCUCAUUGGCCGGGAGAUUCAAACAGCCAGACCCUCACAAAUUCUUCCGGCCUUUAGAAAUAGGGUGACAUUUCAUUCCUUUUCAUGUUAAAGUUUAUGGAUUAAUCCCAAACCUCUCUGGGGAUGGAUUGGGAGAUAGUGGACUCAGGGAUCUAGCUCCAUGGCGAUGAUGGUGCUUAGAAGUCACAGGUUUGUGGCGCUUAACCCUGCAGUAACUAGUGCUUUAGGAUGCGUUGUCACUCGAGAGAAGUGUAUCUGUAUCUUUUAGGGCCAGAAGCUGGAGAUAGUUCUUUGGAGUGACAGCUCCUUGCUCCAAAAGAGAGAAUGAACACUUACCAUGUACUUAGGAUGCACUUUCUUUACUGCCCUGUGAUGAAAGGUCCUUAUGCCAUGGAAUUCUCAUGCAGCAAACACAAGAAUGUCCCUUGUAAAUCUCCAACUCCAGGGAGGGUAGUUGACCAAGGGUUCCAAUCGGUUCCAUAAACACUGAGCUCCUUCUCUGCAUCCAACCAACGUCCCUGCGGUGGCUCCCAGCCAGUCACUGAGCUUGACAGCGAGAGUAAAGGAGACUGAACCCUGGGAGAUACUGCACUCUUUGAAAUUGUGACUUGAUGACUCCCUGAUGGUCCUGCUGAAUCUUCCUGAGACUGCGUGCUGGUCUAGGAUACUUCGCUCCUCUCUGCUCCUUUGGGAGGCUUGGACUUGUUAUGUGGUCUGAUGCCUCUGGCAGGCUCCCUGGCUCCCUUCCUGUUUUCUCUCUAACAAAAUUCCUUCAUCCUAUGUAAUCUCACCUUGGUGCCUGCUUCUCAGAGGACGGCCGCUAACAUAUAGUCACAGGCACCAGGAACGAUCUCUCUGGGAGAUGAGAAUGCAACUGGUUAAAGCUCUCUUGGCCUGCACAAACUCAGGUAGGCGAUUACUCAUUUUGCAUUGAAAGGUAAGACCUGAAGUAUCAAAUGCAGCCCAGAGAACCUGCGGAACGCGCAGCUUUUUCCCCCUUGGUUUUGGAGCCUUCUGUCUGUGUGCAGAAUUCACUUUACUCCAGAAAUGUGUUGCCUUUCAACUCCUCACCAUGGAAUCUGUGUACAGCCCUCUAGGUAACAGGAGUUGACAUUUACCGCUAAACCUCCUCUUGAAUCGCUCUGCGGGAGGCCAUCCGUGGCUCAGAAAUAUUUGCUUAAAUUUGAUUCAACAAAUAUUUAUUGAGCAUCUGUCAUAUGCCAAGUGCCAGGGAUACUGGAAUGAAAAAAAGAUGAGCAAAAUUUCUACCCUCCUUGAGAUGAUUCCUGGUGGGGAACCCAAUGAACAAACCCAUAGAUACGUAAUCAGCUUUCACACAAUGGAAUGAGAAAUCGAUGCUAACCAUCAACAAUAAGCCAAGCCAAGAACAUUCCAAACAGAAGAAAGAAGAUGUGUCCCUGUCAUGCACUCGAAUGAAGAAUUGGUUCUGACCAGGGAUGAAGGAAGGAUGGCUGCAGAGAGAAAGCGACGCUGAGCUGAAUCUGGCACACAGUAGGCAAACAAAUUUUGACUUCAUGAAAAGGUGAAAAAAAAGAAUUCAACUCUUUUGCAAGAUGAAGAGCUGAUAAGUGGACAAGACACAGCGAGGACUUGGCUAUAGGCUUUGAACCUGCAGAGGGAAAGAGUGACACCAGCGAUACAUGCUCUUGCUUUAUGCUCUCGGGCUGGAGCCUGUAAUCCUGUUGGAGUCGUUAAUCUGGUUGCAGUUCGCUCUUAUCCAAUUCUGUAUGCUUCUUAGAUCCGGAAACAGGCGUGCUCAGGCCUUGUGGGUCCAUCUGCUCUGCCCGGUUAGGUGUCGUCCCGCCACCCGAGAAGAAUCCAUUGGAUCCGGUAAAGGCUUCGCGUUCCUUCUCAGCCACAAAGACAGCGCCGCAUUUCAAACUGCCCAGAGCCCCGGAGUCUACCCCGUGGGCUCUGCUGACCAGCCUCAGGGGGCCACGCUCUGCGUCAGCUUCUGCGUCACUCAGGACACCAUUGCCCCUUGAGUCCUCAUUACUGUCCUCCAAAAUGUUAAAAAUAUGAUUCUCCUAUGAGGGUUAACAUAGUAAAAUCCAGAGUUUCCAUGUGCCUCGGGGGGUUAAGGAUCCGACGUCACGGCAGUGGCUCAGGUUGGUGCUGAGGCACAGGUUCAAUCCUUGCUGUGAGGACUUGCAGACAAAAAAAAAAAAAGAAAAAAAAU